GACGAACGCUGGCGGCGUGCCUAAUACAUGCAAGUUGGGCGCUGAAGGUUGGUACUUGUACCAACUGGAUGAGCAGCGAACGGGUGAGUAACGCGUGGGGAAUCUGCCUUUGAGCGGGGGACAACAUUUGGAAACGAAUGCUAAUACCGCAUAAAAACUUUAAACACAAGUUUUAAGUUUGAAAGAUGCAAUUGCAUCACUCAAAGAUGAUCCCGCGUUGUAUUAGCUAGUUGGUGAGGUAAAGGCUCACCAAGGCGAUGAUACAUAGCCGACCUGAGAGGGUGAUCGGCCACAUUGGGACUGAGACACGGCCCAAACUCCUACGGGAGGCAGCAGUAGGGAAUCUUCGGAAAUGGACGAAAGUCUGACCGAGCAACGCCGCGUGAGUGAAGAAGGUUUUCGGAUCGUAAAACUCUGUUGGUAGAGAAGAACGUUGGUGAGAGUGGAAAGCUCAUCAAGUGACGGUAACUACCCAGAAAGGGACGGCUAACUACGUG
This 497-nucleotide ribosomal RNA is filed under the name uncultured bacterium. Its description in RNAcentral is "partial 16S ribosomal RNA". It matches the Rfam family "Bacterial small subunit ribosomal RNA", at positions 28 to 507 of the family's 1533-position model. The record is from RNAcentral.